This 277-nucleotide long non-coding RNA is filed under the name Elaeis guineensis (African oil palm). RNAcentral describes it as "long non-coding RNA (EGUI_LNC082724)". The record is from RNAcentral. Lineage: Eukaryota; Viridiplantae; Streptophyta; Magnoliopsida; Arecales; Arecaceae.
GUAUCUUCAGUGGAGAACAAUCCUUUGAGAAAGAAAAAAAAGGUGUAAGAAAGCUAUGCUUGGGUUGAGGAGUCCGAAUUGACAAGAAAGACUAAGGUUAACCUAGUCUGACAUAGUUUUUUUAUCCGAACAGGCUAAAGAAGAGAAAUCAGCAAAGGGUUGCUGGACAAGGUACUUAUAUGAUAACACUUUGUGAUUUCUCUAUCCAUGAUACUAUUACCUAGUUAUUGGAUAUCAGAAGUCUAUGCAAAUUAUUGUAAUGACUUUAGAAUAGUAG